CGGACGGGUGAGUAACACGUGGAUAACCUACCUAUAAGACUGGGAUAACUUCGGGAAACCGGAGCUAAUACCGGAUAAUAUUUUGAACCGCAUGGUUCAAAAGUGAAAGACGGUCUUGCUGUCACUUAUAGAUGGAUCCGCGCUGCAUUAGCUAGUCGGUAAGGUAACGGCUUACCAAGGCAACGAUGCAUAGCCGACCUGAGAGGGUGAUCGGCCACACUGGAACUGAGACACGGUCCAG
This 241-nucleotide ribosomal RNA is filed under the name uncultured Staphylococcus sp. RNAcentral describes it as "partial 16S ribosomal RNA". It matches the Rfam family "Bacterial small subunit ribosomal RNA", at positions 99 to 334 of the family's 1533-position model. The record is from RNAcentral. Lineage: Bacteria; Bacillati; Bacillota; Bacilli; Caryophanales; Staphylococcaceae.